GUCCAGCUGAGAACAGACUGAGGGCUCAUCUUGCAGCCAAAAAGUCUGAGUGAGAGGACGACACUAAGAAAUUGGUGGGUAUACAUAAUGACUUGUUUGAAGCAGAUGUCAAGUGUCAGCCUACAGUGCCAUGGUUAUAAUCAACUGGAAGUAAAAUGAUUUCAAGUAGGAUUCAUGGAAAGUUUACUUCAGGUUCUUUAAUGGCAAAAGAACACAGGACCACGUCGGCAACUGACUAUUAGCUCUCAGCAGAAAGGUUUGCAUGGGCAUUUUUGACAACCUGGCAAUGAAAUAAUAGUCAAGAGUUGGCUGACUUCUAGAGAGACAGAAACUUAAA
Long non-coding RNA from Pogoniulus pusillus (Red-fronted tinkerbird), 337 nucleotides. RefSeq lists it as uncharacterized. The transcript has 3 exons. Lineage: Eukaryota; Metazoa; Chordata; Aves; Piciformes; Lybiidae. The record is from RefSeq and is a predicted model, not a curated record.